Molecule: long non-coding RNA, 299 nt
Organism: Tribolium madens (black flour beetle)
Lineage: Eukaryota; Metazoa; Arthropoda; Insecta; Coleoptera; Tenebrionidae
Exons: 3
Source: RefSeq, a predicted model, not a curated record
AAAAAAUGUCAUAUGUCAAAUUUUUUCAUGUUCCUAGUACCUAUCUUAUUUUACUUGAAAUUUUUCUCUGAGGCGCGAAUUCUGACACCCAAUAUUAGACAGCGUAUGUACUGUGCCUUUAGACUACUUUACACUGGUGCUGAACGUUAACAACACAAGAAAAGUUUUACAAGUUUACCCAGCUUUGGCAGGUUUUUCUUCGCAAUAAAAAACAUCAGCAAAAAAACUAAUUAGUUCUAGCAUUUUUGAGUCUUGAACAAAUUGAUUUUUCAAACCAUUAUAAUAUCCAGAAGUCUUGG